This is a long non-coding RNA of Oryzias melastigma (Indian medaka), 467 nucleotides long. RefSeq lists it as uncharacterized. Lineage: Eukaryota; Metazoa; Chordata; Actinopteri; Beloniformes; Adrianichthyidae. The record is from RefSeq and is a predicted model, not a curated record. The transcript is spliced from 3 exons.
GAGGGACGAGUGGUGAUGAAGUCCAUAGUCACACUUUGUUGGACAUUAUCCUUUAUAUCAUUUAUUAUUUGCAGUAUUUUAUUGUAAGUAGAUAACAAAAUCUGUCUUCCCCAGAAUUACACUGAAAACAACAAAACCCAAGGUAUUAUGGAAAAAAGUCAAUGGGACUUGAAGAAGAUCCAUUUUCAACGGCGAAAGCUGACCAGGCUGGAUGGUUUUGUACACACAUACAAAGUCACGUUGAAAGGACCUCUCCGAGAAUACACAGACUCUGUGAGGCGGAAACGAAAGACACUAGACAUGGAGCGGUGGAAACAAAAAAAGCAGAGGAAACGUGGCGUUUAUGUGUCGUCUCUGACCAAGGCUUUUGUUUUCGAGCAAUACAAAAAAAAGAAAAGACAGAUGAGAAAAGCCUCCAAAGGUCUGUCUUCAGACAGCAAAGUGCCUGACAAAGGUAAUCCAGGACC